CAAAACGUAGCUUAAAUAAAGCAUCUCGCUUACACCGAGAAUAUAUCUGUUCGACCCAGAUCGCUUUGA
This 69-nucleotide transfer RNA is filed under the name Scinax nasicus (lesser snouted treefrog). RNAcentral describes it as "tRNA-Val". It matches the Rfam family "tRNA". From Rfam's summary of the family: Transfer RNA (tRNA) molecules are approximately 80 nucleotides in length. Their secondary structure includes four short double-helical elements and three loops (D, anti-codon, and T loops). Lineage: Eukaryota; Metazoa; Chordata; Amphibia; Anura; Hylidae. The record is from RNAcentral.